This 483-nucleotide ribosomal RNA is filed under the name uncultured bacterium. RNAcentral describes it as "bacterial SSU rRNA". It matches the Rfam family "Bacterial small subunit ribosomal RNA", at positions 15 to 518 of the family's 1533-position model. The record is from RNAcentral.
GAUCAUGGCUCAGGACGAACGCUGGCGGCGUGCUUCAUACAUGCAAGUCGAACGAGAAUCUUACUUCGGUAAGAGGAAAGUGGCGGACGGGUGAGUAAUAUGUAGAGAAUCUGCCCUUAAGCGGGGGACAACAGUUGGAAACGACUGCUAAUACCCCAUAUGAGCGUACCUGAAAUGGUAUUCUUGAAAACUCCGGUGCUUAAGGAUGAGUCUGCAUCUGAUUAGCUAGUUGGGGGUGUAAUGGACCACCAAGGCGACGAUCAGUAGCUGGUUUGGGAGGAUGAUCAGCCACAAUGGGACUGAGACACGGCCCAUACUCCUACGGGAGGCAGCAGUAGGGAAUUUUGCGCAAUGGGCGAAAGCCUGAACCGCAGCAACGCCGCGUGAACGAGAAGCCCUUCGGGGUGUAAAGUUCUGUCAGUAGGGACGAACAAUGACUGUACCUACAGAGGAAGCACCGGCUAACUCCGUGCCAGCAGCCGC